RNAcentral lists this long non-coding RNA (2254 nucleotides) under Mastacembelus armatus (zig-zag eel). Its description in RNAcentral is "lncRNA (ENSMAMG00000024504.1)". Lineage: Eukaryota; Metazoa; Chordata; Actinopteri; Synbranchiformes; Mastacembelidae. The record is from RNAcentral.
GGGAGUCGACGUGUGAUUGAUAACGUCAAUGAAACAGUAUAGUUUUACAUAAUGGGGGGGACUUUAGGUCGUUCACACUCCAUCCAGCAGGUGGCGGUAGUUUGUACACUUUGUUAGUGAAAGACGCGGUAGAAAACCAAACAGGCCGUUGUUGCUGAGGUGCACUGUUCGCCAGUGAAAACUUCGUUUCAAAUGUUGCUAAAUGUUUGGCAGUUUGUUAUUGGCAGCCCAGUAACACGCUGCAAAACCUGAUUUCAGCUUUCUCCACCGGCUCCACCCUAAAAAGUGGAGACGUUCAACGGAAAAGUCUUUGACAUUCACUCAGUCAUUGUGGUUGCUGAGGAUGUACUCUCACAGGUCAGAGUACAGUGACAGGCGGCAGUAUGGUGGCAGAAGUUCAAGGUCCUGGGAUGACUAUGAUGACAGAUGUGAAGAAAGGCGUGAAUCUCACAGAGAUGUCCUGCGAGAUUCCUAUCAUAAACACGGUGGGGAUGGAUGCAGCAGCAGCAGAGAGAGAACAAGCAGAGGUCGAGAGUACAGUGACUCACCUAACAGGGCGUACAAUAAAGAUUCACUGAGCAGAGAGUGGAGAAGAAAGAGCCCAGUGAGAAGACGCAUGUCUUCACCUGAUUGGGGUGUCUCUGAACAGAAAAGGCGAAGGCUUACAGAGGAUGAUGACGAUGGUUACAGAUACAGGUAUACACAUGAGGAUAAUACUUUCAAGCAGUCACCAGACAUUUUUUCGCAUCUACAUGUACCCAAGGAUUUUAAACAUACACUGCCACAGGAUGAGGACUUCAAAUACCAGAAAACACCUAAAGACUCCAAACACAGGCGUUGGCAUGAGGAGUUUAUGUGCAGGCAAAAACAUGAUGAUUUCAGCCUCUUGUCUAAUUGUUACCAAGAUAGUGAUUCUCAUGAAAGGAGUUUGGACCAUACACAAGAAACACAACUGCAAGAUCACCCUACGGAAAGCUAUUCCAGACACAGAGGGAGGAGUGACAGCCCUUCUACGCAUCAUGAGGAUCAACAGUUUCCACUGAAUGGAUCUAGUGAACAGUGUAUUGAGAGUGGUGUCAUCAGCCAAACCAAUGCUGUUCCUGGACAGAAGUUAACCAAGGGUUUCCAACGUUUCCUUGAUGUGCUCAACAAGGGUGUGAAUGUUGCCACCCUCACCAAGAUAGUGACUCAGACUUCUACAGAAGUCAGUCGACCAUGUUCUCCAGUUUCUGCAGCUUAUAUGUGGUCUCCCAGUUCUCCUGGGAGGCAACACCAAGAAAGCAACAAAAAUAACUGCUGCUGGAGUGAGAGUGAGGGUUCCCAGAGACUGGCUUCUCCACAGCAAAAUCACAGGUCUUUCAGCCCAAAGGGACACACAUUGCCUGAUGAAAAUUUAAUGCAAAGGAGUGAAGGAGAACAAAGCUUCUUGAGCCUGCAUAGUAGAUCCAGGUCUCCAUCAUUGGUGGACAAGAUAACCCUGACACCUGAAGAUGAUCACAAGCACAGGCAAAUACAGGGUGUUUUGCAGGCCAUUGGCAUGGAUUUGGGAUUUGAGGAACUGGGCCAAAUGUCACAUCGAAUCCAGGAGCGGUUAUAUGGAAAAAAGGAUAGUGACUGGGGUGGCCGCUAUAAAGGAAGUAAGGAAAAGGACACAAGGAGAGCGUUUUCUCCAAGACAUCAAAGUAGAUCAUCAUCGAGCAGAUCUAAUUUCAGCCCUGUAGCUCCGGACUUUGAGAUGAAAAAAGACUUGUACGGUGCUCAGAGAAAUGAAGCAGAGGUAUCUGUAGCUGUUGAAUACGGCCAUAAUAGCAGCAGUAGUUCUUUACAGGACAGUGAGAAGUCUGGGACUAACUCACACAAAAGCACUGCUGCAUUACAAACAUUUUCUCAAAAUCCCACAUACUCAUUAUCAGAACCAACUCUUACACCUGUCAUGCCGACCUACUCUCCACUGCUGACAUACCCAGUCGUACCUCCAGCUCCGCCUUCUACCUUGCCCCAGGUUAUACCUGGAUUUUUCUUGCCUCGCCUCCCACCCUUCUUCACUUGCCCCCCUAUCCCACCUCUGAACAUCCUUCCAGGAGUACUUGCUCAAACAGGGCGCCUACUCCCUCAACACAUUAGUAAUCCACAACCCCCCUUUUUCAACUUGCCAGAUAUAAACACAAUUCAGCCCCUGAACACAACACAAAAAUCAAAAACACUGUCAAGACCCCGAUGUUUACAGGUCAUUGAAACUAAGCUGCCUGGAUAA